Molecule: ribosomal RNA, 468 nt
Filed under: uncultured bacterium
Lineage: Bacteria
Description: partial 16S ribosomal RNA
Rfam family: Bacterial small subunit ribosomal RNA
Source: RNAcentral
GACGAACGCUGGCGGCGUGCUUAACACAUGCGAGUCGAACGGAAAGGCCCUGCUUUUGUGGGGUGCUCGAGUGGCGAACGGGUGAGUAACACGUGAGUAACCUGCCCUUGACUUUAGGAUAACUUCAGGAAACUGGGGCUAAUACCGGAUAGGAGCUCCUGCUGCAUGGUGGGGGUUGGAAAGUUUCGGCGGUUGGGGAUGGACUCGCGACUUAUCAGCUUGUUGGUGGGGUAGUGGCUUACCAAGGCUUUGACGGGUAGCUGGCCUGAGAGGGUGACCGGCCACAUUGGGACUGAGAUACGGCCCAGACUCCUACGGGAGGCAGCAGUGGGGAAUAUUGCACAAUGGGCGGAAGCCUGACGCAGCAACGCCGCGUGCGGGAUGACGGCCUUCGGGUUGUAAACCGCUUUCGCCUGUGACGAAGCGUGAGUGACGGUAAUGGGUAAAGAAGCACCGGCUAACUACGUG